Molecule: transfer RNA, 79 nt
Filed under: Heterodermia speciosa
Lineage: Eukaryota; Fungi; Ascomycota; Lecanoromycetes; Caliciales; Physciaceae
Rfam family: tRNA
About the family: Transfer RNA (tRNA) molecules are approximately 80 nucleotides in length.
Source: Rfam by way of RNAcentral
GGGGAUGUGGUCUAGUGGUAUGACGCUUCUUUAGCAUCGAGCCUAGAAGAGGUUCAGGGUUCGAUUCCCUGCUUCUCCA